GACGAGAAGAAAGAAAUAGAAGGAUAACCUUUCGACGAAGUCUCUCGACACGCUCUAUCGAUCUAGUCUACAGAGUUACAGAGCCACUUGCGAACCACUUGCAACGAGUCGAUUCCGCCGCACGCGUGCUGCCUUACGUUAGUUCGGACCGCGAUACGAUCGUCGCGUGCACGAGGCUUCGUUGCAAUUUGACUUAAUGCCGUGUUUAAAUUCACCGGCGAACCAGCUGCUUGCAUCGGUACGUAGCUCGCGGCGCUGUAAUAACCAGAUAACGGGCACGAGAUCCUGUUGCAAUUCGAAUUCGAAAGGGAACUCGAUCGGAGCGCGGGAAAGGACGAGAACUAACCGGGGAGAAGAAAUUUUCCUCUCGUCUCUUCGAGCGAAAGCACCGAGGGAAGGACGACGGUCGGUCGAAGCAAGCCUCGUUACGCGGAAGGACGUCAACGCGGAAACGGUGUUACCUCGCGUUGCAAAAUGAAAGAGACUAACGGGGGGAAAAAGCGAGCUCCUCGUCUUGGAAGACUACGGAACUCCAUCGAAUAUUACGAAAGUUACGUUCCUUCCACCAGAGAAGACUCCCAACUACCAGACGUUCCAUAUUCCGGCAAUCGUGAAACAGAAGCGCAGACAUUCGAGUAACCGUGCGCUUUCUAAGCGAGUUUCCGCAACUCCGGUAGCCACCGAUCAGAUCGAACUUCCGCGUAUCUAUCCACGCGCAAACCUUUGGACACGACGUUCCGCCGGAAGAAUACCAACGUAUUUCGAUAUUCGCGAGUAAACCUUGUUUCAUACGAAAGACGAUAGAAAGAAAUUUAUUUUGAUAUCCAUCCUAUCUAUACGUUUCGUAUCGCGAAUCCUCGCAAACCGAUUUUUACAUGUCUGGCGCGUCGUUUCAUCGACGAUACGCAUAUACGCUUUCGUUCGAUAGGAUAAGACGAGUCGAUUCGAAGUAGUACGCAUCGCGUAAAACCACGCGCUUUAUCGCGGCCUAAUUUCCACAACGCGACGGUAGUUAAGACGUCAGAGAGCGUUUCACGCGUUGAACGUCCCCUAAAUUAAACGACCCAAUUUCAUUGUCGAAGCUCAAGUGCCUUGCUUCGAUUCUCGCAUAUUCCGUACAUCGCGUCGCGACUUCUUCGUUCCGAUCGUCGAUGGGCAUACCGAGUUCCGAGUUGUAACGCUUAGGACGAUGGCGAUGAGACGCGAACGGACGAAAUAUAAAAGACGGACGAGGCUGGAAACGACAGAUCGCGUCGAAAGUGCGUUUUCGACGGGAGCUUUGUGCCUCGAUCGUCAGAUCGAUCGUUACUCCGACGGAGAGCUACAAGCAAAUACGAGUAUGUACCCAGGUCUGUUUGAAUAGCGUUAGCAACGUGCAUUGUCAGUGGUCGUUGUUGAUCGAACGUACGCGAAACCCAAGUUGUUUCUGCCGUGAUAGUCGCGUGGCAAAAGAAAAACGAAGAUACCGUUUCGAAGAAGAAUAUAAACGUAAAACGAAAACUCGAACGCGGUUAAUCGCAGAUAGAGUCUUUUGAUGGAAGCGUUGUCGGGCGCCCAUUCGCGGAACUGACGCGAUUGCGACGAAAAUUGGAGCGGCGACAUUUCGAUUAUCAACGCGUCGUGGAAAACUCAAUUUUCCAAAGUAUCGCGGGGAUGUUGCGCAGCAAAUUUGCUGAGCUCGAUUCACCCGUACGAACCCGUGACCGUAUUCGAUUGCUGUUACGCGCAUAAUAUCCGAUCAGAGAUGACGUUUUGCCACCGCACUUUACAAACGCGAUAAUAACGAACGCGACGGUAAUUUUAUCAAGCCUGUUCGCACCUAAGUUAAUCGUAAAUGGGAAUUUUGCAACUCGCGUAACUUGUGACCUUCGCAAAGAUCGCGAGACGCAUCGGACGACAAAGCGAUAGUCGAAAAUUUCUACCGCACGUUUCGUGACGCGCGCUACGAUAAUGGAAAACGAUACGAAAAAUUCACUUUGGAAGACCCUUUCGUACUACGUUAUCGUCGAAGAGAGAAAAAAGAAAUUUAUCGGAGGACGAAGAAGGCUCUUCUAUCUAUCUGCAACGGAGCAACUCCAUCGGGAAGAAAACGUCGAACAACGACGAUUAUUUUUCCCCCAUUUCCCCGUUUCUAUUUGGCCGGCUAGUUUCCGAUUGACUUUUUGCGCGUAUUCCCCAAUUCCAAUGGAUCGAUGGCCGUCGAACCGAGUCACGAAAUAUUUACGAAUUUCUUCACGAAGGGAGAUAUCGGAAAAACGACGUUUCUUGCGAUUUUGCCUGGGAAUGGUAUCGACGUAAGCUCCAUUCGUCGCGAUCGGCGUAAACUCCAUUUCACGGUUGUCCGCGCACAAAACGGUAAUGUCGUGUCGAAGAUGGUAAUAAAUAGAAAUUUGGAAAUCGGACAGGCGUGUGUCUGACGGAAAGCGCGUCGAUUGAAAAACCCGUCGAAGGUGAAGACUACGAGGAACAUUUGGCGCCAUUUCUCAUCCAGAGACUCCUCCUCGGUCGAAACGAUUAGUUAAGCGCGAACGCAGAGAGAAAUAAAAUCAUGGUAGAACGAACAAAUUGGAAGGAAAUUGUUCGUGUAAAGAGGAAAAUCGUUUGAGAGGCACGCGAAUAAGAAUCGGAAUUUGCGAACUGGAAGAUCUCGUUGUAAAUAUUCGAGCGAAAACUUUCAGCUUCGAAAGAAGAAAGGAUAAGAUAAGGGAAAAGCGGCUUAUUGUCGUUGAUAAUUGCAAUAAAGAGAUAUUUGUACGAGUAAACGAUACGUCGAUAGGGUACAUCGGUACGUUGGUAAAGGAAGGACGUGACAGAACUUGUUUACUCGAGAGGAAGUACGGCACACAGGGAACAAAACAGAGGCACGAAAAAGCGACGUGGACGUCAGCGAAAACGCGGCUUUCUACGAUACCGCUCGUCUCCGUUCCGGUCCCUGAAUCGUGCGUAUAACGCGCAUAAACUGAAAACAACGAUCUCGAAGUUGGUCUGGAAACGCGAACUAGUCGGCGAAGCAUCGCGGCAAUUUAAUAUCGAGCGGAAACCAACCGUAGAUCGUAGACGAAAGGCGGGAGACAAAGAGCCGAGACGCGCGCAUCGUGCACAAGUUUCUCCAACUCUGCGAAAUUUCCUACAGUUAGCUGAUGUAUGUA
This is a long non-coding RNA of Bombus pyrosoma, 3149 nucleotides long. RefSeq lists it as uncharacterized. The transcript is spliced from 3 exons. NCBI's taxonomy places the organism in Eukaryota, Metazoa, Arthropoda, Insecta, Hymenoptera, Apidae. The record is from RefSeq and is a predicted model, not a curated record.